GGUAAAAUGGCUGAGAUAAAGCAUUAGACUGUAAAUCUAAACACAGAGGGUCUUUCCCUCUUUUUGCCA
This 69-nucleotide transfer RNA is filed under the name Rhizomys pruinosus (hoary bamboo rat). RNAcentral describes it as "tRNA-Tyr". It matches the Rfam family "tRNA". Rfam says of the family: Transfer RNA (tRNA) molecules are approximately 80 nucleotides in length. The record is from RNAcentral. Lineage: Eukaryota; Metazoa; Chordata; Mammalia; Rodentia; Spalacidae.